This 97-nucleotide signal recognition particle RNA is filed under the name Succinivibrio sp. RNAcentral describes it as "signal recognition particle sRNA small type". It matches the Rfam family "Bacterial small signal recognition particle RNA". Rfam says of the family: The signal recognition particle (SRP) is a universally conserved ribonucleoprotein involved in the co-translational targeting of proteins to membranes. Lineage: Bacteria; Pseudomonadati; Pseudomonadota; Gammaproteobacteria; Aeromonadales; Succinivibrionaceae. RNAcentral also lists the same sequence under 1 other name. The record is from RNAcentral.
UUUCGGUCCUCGCGUACUUGAUAAAGGUUUAAUUGGUCAGGAUCGGAAGGUAGCAGCCAGGAUCUUCUAUUGAGGUACCGCGAUGUGGUUGAUCUCC